This is a long non-coding RNA of Suricata suricatta (meerkat), 893 nucleotides long. RefSeq lists it as uncharacterized. The transcript is spliced from 4 exons. Lineage: Eukaryota; Metazoa; Chordata; Mammalia; Carnivora; Herpestidae. The record is from RefSeq and is a predicted model, not a curated record.
UUGACUCAAGAUAAUUUUAGCUGGGUUUGUGUUACUUGUACCUUGAAGAAUCCUGACAAAUAGAGAUUAUAGAAAGCUCUAAGAAAGAUGACUAAGAAAGCAGGCUGUUAGAAGAAUGAGUUGACUGUCAUAAGAGAUAAUGCAUCUCCUUAUUGCCUACACCCAGGAAGAACUGUCAUCAUGGCUAACUCUCCUUAUAUUGUGAAAACUCUUAUCCUUAACCAAAGAGCUGUAAAGUGGAGAGGUAUUAAGUACAACCACCUUCAUUUCCAAUUUAUUUCCCAGUUAACGGUGACAUGGAGGAGGCAGCUAGAGCCAGUAUCUGCGUGACAGGUAUAUGCUCUGGAGGAAGAUCCUUGUCCAAGAAAACAAAUCACAUCCCUCAGUGACCCAGCAAGAUCACAUGCUUAUCCUGGGAACUGAAAAUGGGGCGAGUUUAAAUCCCACUUCGCCACUCAUAUCAUCAAGAAAAGAGUGAGAAAUUGCAAAAACUCAGAAAUCCUAACUCUUCAAUUUCCAAUUACUGUGACUAGUAUUAGGUAGGAGAUCUUGUUUUAUCUUCCAUGAAAUGACAUCGUGACCUGGGUAACUUGAAAUGCUAAGGUAAUGAACUGUUAACCACCUGGGAAUAUCCAAAGCACUCUUUCUAAAGGAAAAACACUCAGAAAUGACCUAACAUGCAUUUGGUAUUUUAAGAGGUGAAAAAAAGUUCACCCAACCAGAACAUGAAAUAUUCUAGGAGAGCAAGAAAAUGGCAAUGUCUUUGUCAAAUGCCUCCACUAAAAUAAAUAGGGGAACAGUAACCAAAUAUGGAGUUUAGAUCUAGAACAUAAAUACAAGAGAACGCUGUUGAAAUACCCAGGUGGUUGUAGAAGGGUGGCCAUUUUAAAUAA